UCGCUCAACGGAUAAAAGCUACCCCGGGGAUAACAGGCUUAUCUCCCCCAAGAGUCCACAUCGACGGGGAGGUUUGGCACCUCGAUGUCGGCUCAUCGCAUCCUGGGGCUGUAGUCGGUCCCAAGGGUUGGGCUGUUCGCCCAUUAAAGCGGUACGCGAGCUGGGUUCAGAACGUCGUGAGACAGUUCGGUCCCUAUCCGUCGUGGGCGUAGGAAAUUUGAGAGGAGCUGUCCUUAGUACGAGAGGACCGGGAUGGACACACCGCUGGUGUACCAGUUGUCUUGCCAAAGGCAUCGCUGGGUAGCUAUGUGUGGACGGGAUAAGUGCUGAAAGCAUCUAAGCAUGAAGCCCCCCUCAAGAUGAGAUUUCCCAUAGCGCAAGCUAGUAAGAUCCCUGAAAGAUGAUCAGGUUGAUAGGUCAGAGGUGGAAGCGUGGCGACAUGUGUAGCUGACUGAUACUAAUCGAUCGAGGACUUAACCAAAUU
This 484-nucleotide ribosomal RNA is filed under the name Priestia megaterium. Its description in RNAcentral is "bacterial LSU rRNA". It matches the Rfam family "Bacterial large subunit ribosomal RNA", at positions 2445 to 2925 of the family's 2925-position model. The record is from RNAcentral. Lineage: Bacteria; Bacillati; Bacillota; Bacilli; Caryophanales; Bacillaceae.